RNAcentral lists this ribosomal RNA (497 nucleotides) under uncultured bacterium. RNAcentral describes it as "partial 16S ribosomal RNA". It matches the Rfam family "Bacterial small subunit ribosomal RNA", at positions 28 to 507 of the family's 1533-position model. The record is from RNAcentral.
GAUGAACGCUGGCGGCGUGCCUAAUACAUGCAAGUCGAGCGAACAGACGAGGAGCUUGCUCCUCUGACGUUAGCGGCGGACGGGUGAGUAACACGUGGAUAACCUACCUAUAAGACUGGGAUAACUUCGGGAAACCGGAGCUAAUACCGGAUAAUAUAUUGAACCGCAUGGUUCAAUAGUGAAAGACGGUUUUGCUGUCACUUAUAGAUGGAUCCGCGCCGCAUUAGCUAGUUGGUAAGGUAACGGCUUACCAAGGCAACGAUGCGUAGCCGACCUGAGAGGGUGAUCAGCCACACUGGAACUGAGACACGGUCCAGACUCCUACGGGAGGCAGCAGUAGGGAAUCUUCCGCAAUGGGCGAAAGCCUGACGGAGCAACGCCGCGUGAGUGAUGAAGGUCUUCGGAUCGUAAAACUCUGUUAUUAGGGAAGAACAAAUGUGUAAGUAACUAUGCACGUCUUGACGGUACCCAAUCAGAAAGCCACGGCUAACUACGUG